Long non-coding RNA from Amphimedon queenslandica, 435 nucleotides. RefSeq lists it as uncharacterized. The transcript is spliced from 3 exons. Lineage: Eukaryota; Metazoa; Porifera; Demospongiae; Haplosclerida; Niphatidae. The record is from RefSeq and is a predicted model, not a curated record.
UAGGCGUCCGGCUGCCGGACCAAUAUCCACUUCCUAAAUAUAAUAGCAGCUUGACCACGCCUCUUUAAUCGUUGUUACGUUAAUCUGACCAAUCUGACGUUAAUUGACUUUUCGCCAUUUUUACCACAUAUCUUUUGUAGUUUUGUACACACGUUUACAGGUUUCGUAUAGUAGCAUUUCUGUCCUGUUUGCAACUUGCUUUUAGAGGUAUGAGUACAAGGCCAAUAAAAGAUCGUGUGAUAAUAAGUCAUUUUUGCUGCCACCAAAGUCUGUGUCUGAUACCUUAAAAACAGUUGGUAGACCUUCAAAGUAUAAACAUUAUGAUGAUGACAGUUUAUAGUGAAGCUUAUAAAGAAGUGGUGAGCAAAGAUGUGUCAAUCAGAAGAGCUGCAUUGGAAUAUGGUAUACCUGCAUAGGGGUAGGAACAAACUAAAA